GAUGAUCACAAUCCUAAAAGCUAGAUUAGACAAGAAAAUGAGGGGAAAAAAAAUAGAAUUGACAAUCCUGAACAGCACGCAAAGCAUCUAUUAAUCUUCGCCAUACAAUUAGUCUACAUACUUCCUUAAUUAUUUUCCCUAAUUUGCUUUGCCUCUAAUCUUGAUCAACUUUUUUAUCUUAUCAUCAUCAGUUAUUUAGCGAGUGUAGUAGAACUCAGC
RNAcentral lists this unclassified non-coding RNA (219 nucleotides) under Hevea brasiliensis (rubber tree). Lineage: Eukaryota; Viridiplantae; Streptophyta; Magnoliopsida; Malpighiales; Euphorbiaceae. The record is from RNAcentral.